CCUUCGGGCGCUGACGAGUGGCGAACGGGUGAGUAACGCAUCGGAACGUGCCCAGUCGUGGGGGAUAACGCAGCGAAAGCUGUGCUAAUACCGCAUACGAUCUGCGGAUGAAAGCGGGGGACCUUAGGGCCUCGCGCGAUUGGAGCGGCCGAUGUCAGAUUAGGUAGUUGGUGGGGUAAAGGCCCACCAAGCCAACGAUCUGUAGCUGGUCUGAGAGGACGACCAGCCACACUGGGACUGAGACACGGCCCAGACUCCUACGGGAGGCAGCAGUGGGGAAUUUUGGACAAUGGGCGCAAGCCUGAUCCAGCAAUGCCGCGUGCAGGAAGAAGGCCUUCGGGUUGUAAACUGCUUUUCGUACGGAACGAAAAGGUCUGGGUUAAUACCCUGGGCUCAUGACGGUACCGUAAGAAUAAGCACCGGCUAACUACGUG
RNAcentral lists this ribosomal RNA (434 nucleotides) under uncultured bacterium. RNAcentral describes it as "bacterial SSU rRNA". It matches the Rfam family "Bacterial small subunit ribosomal RNA", at positions 77 to 507 of the family's 1533-position model. The record is from RNAcentral.